ACAAACCCUAAGCUCAACAAACCCUAAGCACUCUCUUCACUUUCUUCUAGUUCUCUCCAAUCUUCAACGUACGGCCCCUCCCCUCCGAUCAGAUGACGCCGGCGACCGCCGCUCACCCUCUUCUAGACGACGCCGGCGACUGUAUUUCCGAUUAGACCAGCCGCGCUCGCCCUCCGUUUUCGUCUCGGUUUAAAGAUCUACCAAACUUGGAAAAGGCAAGAGGAAACUAGGAAAGGUGGCUGUAAAUUGCCAACAACUUGAAGAAAGUGCUAAGACUUUGCAAGAUGUUGAAGAGGUUCCUGAACAUAAAGGAGUUUCACUUUAAUUCAAAGAUUCCUAUUGAACUAAAAGGCGCUUGUUUGGACUGGGGGUAGAAUACUUUCACCUUCCUUCAGGGAUACAAUGGUGUGGAGUACCGAUCUGCUGGAUGUACCGAGGAAUAUAGCGUCAUUGAGAGCUUUCUCUUUGUUAGGGCCGUAAAACUAAGGUUGGCUUGAGGAAACAUAAUUUGCUCCAUCCAAAAAGAACACAAAGGUUGGUGGAAAAGGCUCUUGAAAACAGAAGAAAAACCUGCUCCACACUGAUGCUCGUGAGAAUGGGUCAGACGGUAAGUUCCUAUUUAUUUCACUGAUGCUCUCGAACACCUUAGGAAAUGUAGAUUGAAUAUACAAAAAGGGGAGAACCUCAAUUCUAAAUGAAGUUACAUUAAAACUUUCCAAUUACAUAUUCUCCAUUUCUUCCUUGAAAGGAUGGGCCAAUAAUUGAUAGGAAGACAUCCAUAUUGAGCUUCUCCUUGUUGAAUUCAACAAUCUGAAUUUUCCAACCUUACACUUAAAAAUGGAAAAUAUCCUGCCUUGAAAAUAUUUUAAAUGCCCUUGAAAUAAUUUUAUAAUUUUAGUUUAUGAUGGAAGUAUCAAUAGGUAAAUAGGGCAAAUAUUGUUAGGAAUAGUAGCAAUGACAAUGUGGCGUAUUUGUAAUCACUUACAUGUUGGUUUGUGUUGAAAUUUAUGAAAAGAUGAAGUUGGGUUUGGCUAGGCAGAAUUUUGAAGAUUUGUCCGUUGGAGAGAGAUAGCUCUCUUUAAAUGCUAUACUAAUAUACUUUUUCAGUUUUUCUUUUUUAUUAUCAUACAAUUCCCGUAUUUAAUUCUCUUAUCCCCAGCCCUAAGAUUUGGAUCCUUAGCUUAUGUUUACUUAAAAAUGAAACUGUCAUCCAUGCUAUUCCAUUACCGUUUGACUAUGUUCUUUGUCAAGUUUAACCAAGGGUUUGUGGCUUCAAAGUUCUUUGAAGUAGAACUUUGAUCUUCCAUUGUGUAAUUCUAACCACGUGUUCUAGCAAUAUAACUGAUUUUUCAGCCGCUUUAACCAAGGGUUUGUGGCUUCAAAGUAUGUUGCUUCCAUUUACUUCCCAUUUGCCCAGUCAGCCAAGCAUUUAAGUUGGUUUGAUUGCUUUCUUGAUUGAGUUUUGUAUCAAGUCUGAUUGGUGCUUCACUGUUCAUCAAUUUCUUAUACAUUUUUCUGGUCUCUCAUUAGCCUGAUUUUUGCAGCUUCGUUGUUCAUCAAUUUCUCAUACAAUUGUCUGCUCUCUCAUUAGCUGAAUUUGCAGCAUCAUUGUUCAUCAUUUUCUUCUUUGGUUUUGUCAUAUAUUCUUGAACCUUCCCUUACAUUUAACUUUGAAAUGGAUGGUGUCUUUAUUUUCUGCUAUUGGGUUUGCCCGCAGCAUUUGAUACCAAUAUUGGUUAGAUGUUAGCAGCAGAGUGUGUGUAUAUAUAUAUAUAAUAAAGUGAUGGUAUUAGAGUUGUAUCACUUCAAACUUCAGAAUAAUGUUUAUAACAAAUUUGUCUGUUUACUAAUUGUAAUUCUUUUCAAAUAACAUGAGAUGAUGAAAAAUAUCCUGUAUUAUUAAAGGUUUGGUAGUAUCUAUUUAAUUUACAUCGUCUUAUAAUA
Long non-coding RNA from Cucumis melo (muskmelon), 1944 nucleotides. RefSeq lists it as uncharacterized. The record is from RefSeq and is a predicted model, not a curated record. Lineage: Eukaryota; Viridiplantae; Streptophyta; Magnoliopsida; Cucurbitales; Cucurbitaceae. The transcript has 5 exons.